This 457-nucleotide ribosomal RNA is filed under the name uncultured bacterium. RNAcentral's name for it is "bacterial SSU rRNA". It matches the Rfam family "Bacterial small subunit ribosomal RNA", at positions 169 to 604 of the family's 1533-position model. The record is from RNAcentral.
CCGCAUAAUAAUAGAGGAUCGCAUGAUUCUUUAAGGAAAGAUGGCCUCUGAAGAUGCUAUCGCAAAAGGAUGGACCCGCGUCUGAUUAGCUAGUUGGAAGGGUAACGGCCUACCAAGGCAACGAUCAGUAUCCGGCCUGAGAGGGUGAACGGCCACAUUGGGACUGAGACACGGCCCAAACUCCUACGGGAGGCAGCAGUGGGGAAUCUUCCGCAAUGGGCGAAAGCCUGACGGAGCAAUGCCGCGUGAGUGAAGAAGGCCUUCGGGUUGUAAAACUCUGUCCUUAUCGAAGAGAGGUAGGUAUGUGAAUAAUGUACCUAUAGGACGGUAGAUAAGGAGGAAGCCCCGGCUAACUACGUGCCAGCAGCCGCGGUAAUACGUAGGGGGCGAGCGUUGUCCGGAAUCACUGGGCGUAAAGGGCGCGUAGGCGGUUUAAUAAGUCAGUGGUGAAAACUGA